This 71-nucleotide transfer RNA is filed under the name Incisitermes minor. Its description in RNAcentral is "tRNA-Ser". It matches the Rfam family "tRNA". Rfam says of the family: Transfer RNA (tRNA) molecules are approximately 80 nucleotides in length. The record is from RNAcentral. Lineage: Eukaryota; Metazoa; Arthropoda; Insecta; Blattodea; Kalotermitidae.
AGUUACAAAGCUAUAAGAACAAGCAUGUGCUUUGAAACCACAAAAAAGGAGUUAAAGCCUCCUAGUAACUU